RNAcentral lists this small RNA (180 nucleotides) under Arabidopsis thaliana (thale cress). Its description in RNAcentral is "ATSL281060". The record is from RNAcentral. Lineage: Eukaryota; Viridiplantae; Streptophyta; Magnoliopsida; Brassicales; Brassicaceae.
GGAAACUAAAAUACAUUUAAGUCUAAAACCUAUGAAAAAUACUUUUUGUUGGGGUAACAGAGAUAGGCAUAUUCCGCUGUAACAAAUAACGGUUUUGCCCUCGAUCAUCUUCUUCUUUCCUUCUUCAUCGUUUCUUUCUCUUCUUAAUAUUACCAGGAAUUUUGGUUUCAAUUUUUUUUU